CGUAGGGAGCAAGCGUUGUCCGGAAUCAUUGGGCGUAAAGCGCGCGUAGGCGGCCCUGUAAGUCCGCUCUGAAAGUCAAAGGCUCAACCUUUGAAAGCGGGUGGAUACUGCAGGGCUAGAGUCCGGAAGAGGCGAGUGGAAUUCCUGGUGUAGCGGUGGAAUGCGCAGAUAUCAGGAGGAACACCAACGGCGAAGGCAGCUCACUGGGACGGUACUGACGCUGAGGCGCGAAAGCGUGGGGAGCAAACAGGAUUAGAUACCCUGGUAGUCCACGCUGUAAACGAUGGGCAUUAGGUGUGGGAGGUGUCGACUCCUCCCGUGCCGGCGCUAACGCAUUAAAUGCCCCGCCUGGGGAGUACGGCCGCAAGGCUA
RNAcentral lists this ribosomal RNA (372 nucleotides) under uncultured organism. RNAcentral's name for it is "bacterial SSU rRNA". It matches the Rfam family "Bacterial small subunit ribosomal RNA", at positions 526 to 896 of the family's 1533-position model. The record is from RNAcentral.